AUUGAACGCUGGCGGCAGGCCUAACACAUGCAAGUCGAGCGGAUGAAGGGAGCUUGCUCCUGGAUUCAGCGGCGGACGGGUGAGUAAUGCCUAGGAAUCUGCCUGGUAGUGGGGGAUAACGUCCGGAAACGGGCGCUAAUACCGCAUACGUCCUGAGGGAGAAAGUGGGGGAUCUUCGGACCUCACGCUAUCAGAUGAGCCUAGGUCGGAUUAGCUAGUUGGUGGGGUAAAGGCCUACCAAGGCGACGAUCCGUAACUGGUCUGAGAGGAUGAUCAGUCAAAAUGGAACUUGGAACAGGGUCAGACCCCUACGGGGAGGCGCAGGUGGGAAUUUUUGGCCAUGGGCGGAAGCCUUGUCCCAGCAUGGCCGGGUGGUGAAAAAGGGCUUCCGGUUGGAAAGCCCCUUAAGGUGGGGGGAAGGGCAGUAAGGUAAUAACUUGCUGGUUUGACGGUUCCAACAGAAUAAGGACCGGCUAACUUCGUG
Molecule: ribosomal RNA, 484 nt
Filed under: uncultured bacterium
Lineage: Bacteria
Description: partial 16S ribosomal RNA
Rfam family: Bacterial small subunit ribosomal RNA
Source: RNAcentral